Molecule: unclassified non-coding RNA, 526 nt
Filed under: Hevea brasiliensis (rubber tree)
Lineage: Eukaryota; Viridiplantae; Streptophyta; Magnoliopsida; Malpighiales; Euphorbiaceae
Source: RNAcentral
ACACAAUAUCUGCUGCUAAAUUGCAAUAAUUUACUGACGAGCGGUAUGAAUAGCAGCAACAGAAGAGACCAUGGCGUCCAUUCCACAAAUAUUGCGCCCCCUGCAGAUCUUGUAAUAGCCAUUCUCUCCCCAAUUUUCACCCCAUGAAUUCUUGAUAAUCCAGAAGGGCUUAUCCUUAAACCGGAUAGGAGCAUAACCUGCAGCUCCAUACCCCACAAGAAGCACCCCAUGAUCCUGACUCUUUGAGCAAAUGUAUGGGCAAGAAACUCCUCCAAUAUAUGUCUGCAUAAACAUUGCGUUGAUCCCCACUGCAAGUGGACCGUUCUUCACCAAAUUUGCAGCAAUUUGUUCUUCAUCAAUAGAAAUAACACUGAAGUUAGAUACAGAUGCAGCAAUUUUGCUUCUGUCAAACUUGCACGGUCCACGAUCAGUCCCAGUGUAAGGAUAAUCCUCCUCGCGCUCCAGUCCCCCAGCCUUGAGGGUGUACUCAAAAGCAGAAGUCAUCAACCCUCCAUUGCAGCCUGAA